UUGAAUCAUCGAAUCUUUUCCCUCCCCUUUCUCCUUUUUCUUAAUUCAUGUCUGUUUGAGGGCACCAUUUAACAAAUAAUGUGCAUUUCGUGUGCACACGUUGAUGAGCUUUCCAAAAUUAUGUAUUAUUAUUUUUGGUGGCGCAUAAUAAACAGCGCGAUGCUUUUUUUCAGUUCGAGUGUAGUAAAAUUUUUUCUUGCUUGGGUUGUGAAAAGCGUGAUCGCGCAAUGGGUUUGGCGAUUCUACUAACCCUGCCCCAACGCCCCUCUUUCUCGCGAAAGAAUAUUAAUCUUCAGGGCC
This 300-nucleotide unclassified non-coding RNA is filed under the name Paraglomus occultum. RNAcentral's name for it is "partial internal transcribed spacer 2". Lineage: Eukaryota; Fungi; Glomeromycota; Glomeromycetes; Paraglomerales; Paraglomeraceae. The record is from RNAcentral.